Malus domestica (apple) is the source of this 1579-nucleotide non-coding RNA. The record is from RefSeq and is a predicted model, not a curated record. NCBI's taxonomy places the organism in Eukaryota, Viridiplantae, Streptophyta, Magnoliopsida, Rosales, Rosaceae.
AGGGAAGUGCUGAAGUUAUUUACCUUUCAAUUUUCUUUUAGUCGGAGGAACUGAAUUGGGCCUGAAGUAGCAAAAUACUGCAUUCAAAUCAAACUUGAUGGUCCCUCAGAGUCGGAGGCAUCAUCAUUUGCAAAUGCAAAACGACCCAAGAUCUCCACUUCUUGUAGCAAACAUGGGAGGGAUUAUUAGGAAACCUCCUGAAGAAACACACGCACUGUAGAUGUUGACAUGGAUAAAUAUUCAACGCAAAGAAACUUGAAUGGCAUCAGCAAUCUGUGGGAGGCCAUUGACAUUCUUCACAUCUCGAAGUCGGAGCCACAACCAUCCAUCAGAUCAGAUGCCGGUGUUCCUGCUCUUAGACUCGUCGUCCCCAAUCGCCACCUCGUCCACCUCCUCUUUCGUCUUUGAUUUAAUGUGAGGGUGGUGAUAAAAGGGAGAGUGCAGGGUGUGUUUUACGGGGACUGCACUGUGCGGGAUGCAACUGAAUUAGGCUUGAAAGGUUGGGUUCGGAACCGGAUUGAUGGGUCUUUGGAACACUGCUUUCCGGGAACCCUGAUGCAGUUAAAGAGAUGGAGCAGAGGCGUCGCCGUGGUCCUCCAUCCGCAGUAGUCACGGGGCUCGAGGUUGACAAUCUUGCUUGCUUUAUGCUCCUUAGUUUGGAGGAAUCUUAGGCUUUAAGGGGAAUACUGUAAAUUAUUCUGUUAAAGAUAAGACUUAGAAAUUGUCAUUACUACCGUGUGUAAAUGGGUGUAUAUAUAUUCAAAAUGUAAUCUUAUUUCUUUAAUCAAUGAAAUCAUAUAUUUGUAACAUAGCAUCGCCUACCUCUGUCUAGCGACCCGAUCCAAAUCACGCUUCCCUCCUUCUCUAGUUCGAAUUUUCAUCCUCUUCAAUUGGAUCUUCAUCCUUUGCUUGCCUCUGCAAACCCUAGGCCUUGGAAAUGGCCACCUGCUUCUCAUUCAUCUGAUUCUGCAUCUCAGAUUCAUCCUUCUCCAACCAUGAAUCCAAGCCCUAACACCUCUAAUACUACUUCAAUCUCUUCUAUUACAAUUCAGAAUAUUGGAUCUAUGGUUCCCAUCAAGCUCACAACUACAAACUACUUGAUCUGGAGUGCCUUGUUUGCUCCGAUUUUCCACCACUACAAUCUCACCGGCAUCAUCGAUGGAUCGAAAUUUCUUCUUGAUGCCUCUAGAAAUCGCAUCUCAACCUUGAAUCCAAAAUACAUGGCCUGAUUCGAAAAUGAUCAGAAUAUUCUCUCUGGAUCAAUUCUACUCUUUCUUUUUAUUUAAUCACGAAAUCAUAUUUUCCAUUAUGGUAUCAGAGCUCUAUCCAAGUUGAGGUUCAAUCUUCUUCGAGACAAACUUUUUCUUCGAAAAUCUCAGCUCAGUUUGGGGAGGGAUAUUAAGGAGAAUAUUGUAAAAGAUUCUGUUAAUGAUACUUAGAUAUUGUUAAGUUUAUUAUUUUGGGUUAUGUUAGUUUUGGCUAGUUAGAGUGAGCUUUCAUUACUAGUGCGCUUAAAUCAGUUGUAUAUAUGCUCAAAAUGUAAUCUUAUUUCUUUAAUCAAUGAAAUCAUUUUUCCCAA